UGAAUGGGAAUUCGGGGGAUAACUGUCUCACCCAAGUUAUAUAAAAAUUACUUAGUGAGUGAAAAGUCUCAUAUAUUGAAGAAAGACGAGAAGACCCUAGAAAUUUUUUAUAAGUAUGUUAAUAUAAUCUAUUUUGUUGGGGCGACAUAGUAACAGUUAACUUACUAUAUAAUAUGCUAUUUAUAAAUUGAAAGAAUAAAUUACUCUAGGGAUAACAGCAUUAUUCGUUUAUGAGUUUGUGACCUCGAUGUUGGACUAGGAAAUAAUCUAUCUAGAAGAUAAAUUAAAAGGCUCUGUUCGAGCUUAUGCUCCUACAUGAUCUGAGUUCAAACCGGAGCUCCA
Molecule: ribosomal RNA, 342 nt
Filed under: Trochulus clandestinus
Lineage: Eukaryota; Metazoa; Mollusca; Gastropoda; Stylommatophora; Hygromiidae
Description: partial 16S ribosomal RNA
Source: RNAcentral